UCGGGUUACCGAAUUCAGACAAACUCCGAAUGCCAAUUAAUUUAACUUGGGAGUCAGAACAUGGGUGAUAAGGUCCGUGUUCGAAAGGGAAACAGCCCAGACCACCAGCUAAGGUCCCAAAAUAUAUGUUAAGUGGAAAAGGAUGUGGCGUUGCCCAGACAACUAGGAUGUUGGCUUAGAAGCAGCCAUCAUUUAAAGAGUGCGUAAUAGCUCACUAGUCGAGUGACACUGCGCCGAAAAUGUACCGGGGCUAAACAUAUUACCGAAGCUGUGGAUUGUCCUUUGGACAAUGGUAGGAGAGCGUUCUAAGGGCGUUGAAGCAUGAUCGUAAGGACAUGUGGAGCGCUUAGAAGUGAGAAUGCCGGUGUGAGUAGCGAAAGACGGGUGAGAAUCCCGUCCACCGAUUGACUAAGGUUUCCAGAGGAAGGCUCGUCCGCUCUGGGUUAGUCGGGUCCUAAGCUGAGGCCGACAGGCGUAGGCGAUGGAUAACAGGUUGAUAUUCCUGUACCACCUAUAAUCGUUUUAAUCGAUGGGGGGACGCAGUAGGAUAGGCGAAGCGUGCGAUUGGAUUGCACGUCUAAGCAGUAAGGCUGAGUAUUAGGCAAAUCCGGUACUCGUUAAGGCUGAGCUGUGAUGGGGAGAAGACAUUGAGUCUUCGAGUCGUUGAUUUCACACUGCCGAGAAAAGCCUCUAGAUAGAAAAUAGGUGCCCGUACCGCAAACCGACACAGGUAGUCAAGAUGAGAAUUCUAAGGUGAGCGAGCGAACUCUCGUUAAGGAACUCGGCAAAAUGACCCCGUAACUUCGGGAGAAGGGGUGCUCUUUAGGGUUAACGCCCAGAAGAGCCGCAGUGAAUAGGCCCAAGCGACUGUUUAUCAAAAACACAGGUCUCUGCUAAACCGUAAGGUGAUGUAUAGGGGCUGACGCCUGCCCGGUGCUGGAAGGUUAAGAGGAGUGGUUAGCUUCUGCGAAGCUACGAAUCGAAGCCCCAGUAAACGGCGGCCGUAACUAUAACGGUCCUAAGGUAGCGAAAUUCCUUGUCGGGUAAGUUCCGACCCGCACGAAAGGCGUAACGAUUUGGGCACUGUCUCAACGAGAGACUCGGUGAAAUCAUAGUACCUGUGAAGAUGCAGGUUACCCGCGACAGGACGGAAAGACCCCGUGGAGCUUUACUGUAGCCUGAUAUUGAAAUUCGGCACAGCUUGUACAGGAUAGGUAGGAGCCUUUGAAACGUGAGCGCUAGCUUACGUGGAGGCGCUGGUGGGAUACUACCCUAGCUGUGUUGGCUUUCUAACCCGCACCACUUAUCGUGGUGGGAGACAGUGUCAGGCGGGCAGUUUGACUGGGGCGGUCGCCUCCUAAAAGGUAACGGAGGCGCUCAAAGGUUCCCUCAGAAUGGUUGGAAAUCAUUCAUAGAGUGUAAAGGCAUAAGGGAGCUUGACUGCGAGACCUACAAGUCGAGCAGGGUCGAAAGACGGACUUAGUGAUCCGGUGGUUCCGCAUGGAAGGGCCAUCGCUCAACGGAUAAAAGCUACCCCGGGGAUAACAGGCUUAUCUCCCCCAAGAGUUCACAUCGACGGGGAGGUUUGGCACCUCGAUGUCGGCUCAUCGCAUCCUGGGGCUGUAGUCGGUCCCAAGGGUUGGGCUGUUCGCCCAUUAAAGCGGUACGCGAGCUGGGUUCAGAACGUCGUGAGACAGUUCGGUCCCUAUCCGUCGUGGGCGUAGGAAAUUUGAGAGGAGCUGUCCUUAGUACGAGAGGACCGGGAUGGACAUACCUCUGGUGUACCAGUUGUCGUGCCAACGGCAUAGCUGGGUAGCUAUGUGUGGACGGGAUAAGUGCUGAAAGCAUCUAAGCAUGAAGCCCCCCUCAAGAUGAGAUUUCCCAACUUCGGUUAUAAGAUCCCUCAAAGAUGAUGAGGUUAAUAGGUUCGAGGUGGAAGCAUGGUGACAUGUGGAGCUGACGAAUACUAAUCGAUCGAAGACUUAAUCAA
RNAcentral lists this ribosomal RNA (1990 nucleotides) under Staphylococcus aureus W70590. RNAcentral describes it as "bacterial LSU rRNA". It matches the Rfam family "Bacterial large subunit ribosomal RNA", at positions 931 to 2925 of the family's 2925-position model. The record is from RNAcentral. Lineage: Bacteria; Bacillati; Bacillota; Bacilli; Caryophanales; Staphylococcaceae.